This 72-nucleotide transfer RNA is filed under the name Camelus bactrianus (Bactrian camel). It matches the Rfam family "tRNA". Rfam says of the family: Transfer RNA (tRNA) molecules are approximately 80 nucleotides in length. Their secondary structure includes four short double-helical elements and three loops (D, anti-codon, and T loops). RNAcentral also lists the same sequence under 1 other name. Lineage: Eukaryota; Metazoa; Chordata; Mammalia; Artiodactyla; Camelidae. The record is from Rfam by way of RNAcentral.
GUGGGUGUAGCUCGGUGGUAGAGCACAUGCUUAGUAUGCAUAAGGUCCUGAGUUCAAUUCCCAGGACCUUCA